RNAcentral lists this ribosomal RNA (253 nucleotides) under uncultured bacterium. Its description in RNAcentral is "partial 16S ribosomal RNA". It matches the Rfam family "Bacterial small subunit ribosomal RNA", at positions 524 to 776 of the family's 1533-position model. The record is from RNAcentral.
CACGUAGGGCGCAAGCGUUGUCCGGAAUUAUUGGGCGUAAAGAGCUCGUAGGCGGCCUGUUGCGUCCGCUGUGAAAACUCGGGGCUUAACCCCGAGCCUGCAGUGGAUACGGGCAGACUAGAGGUAGGUAGGGGAGAUUGGAAUUCCUGGUGUAGCGGUGGAAUGCGCAGAUAUCAGGAGGAACACCAAUGGCGAAGGCAGAUCUCUGGGCCGUAACUGACGCUGAGGAGCGAAAGCAUGGGGAGCGAACAGG